This 99-nucleotide ribosomal RNA is filed under the name Maxillaria pudica. Its description in RNAcentral is "partial 18S ribosomal RNA". It matches the Rfam family "Eukaryotic small subunit ribosomal RNA", at positions 1733 to 1831 of the family's 1831-position model. Lineage: Eukaryota; Viridiplantae; Streptophyta; Magnoliopsida; Asparagales; Orchidaceae. The record is from RNAcentral.
CCGCCCGUGACUNGGCGAGAAGUCCAUUGAACCUUAUCAUUUAGAGGAAGGAGAAGUCGUAACAAGGUUUCCGUAGGUGAACCUGCGGAAGGAUCAUUG